Molecule: non-coding RNA, 46 nt
Filed under: Schistosoma mansoni
Lineage: Eukaryota; Metazoa; Platyhelminthes; Trematoda; Strigeidida; Schistosomatidae
Source: RNAcentral
GCACUGCCGAAGAGUCACACAAUAAGACGAAACGGCUGUCCAGUGC